Molecule: ribosomal RNA, 207 nt
Filed under: uncultured bacterium
Lineage: Bacteria
Description: partial 16S ribosomal RNA
Rfam family: Bacterial small subunit ribosomal RNA
Source: RNAcentral
CGUGUAGGCGGUUCGGUAGGUCCGUUGUGAAAACUCGAGGCUCAACCUCGAGACGCCGAUGGAAACCAUCGAACUAGAGUCCGGAAGAGGAGAGUGGAAUUCCUGGUGUAGCGGUGAAAUGCGCAGAUAUCAGGAAGAACACCCGUGGCUAAGGCGGCUCUCUAGUACGGUACUGACGCUGAGACGCGAAAGCGUGGGGAGCGAACA